Molecule: long non-coding RNA, 1160 nt
Filed under: Papio anubis (olive baboon)
Lineage: Eukaryota; Metazoa; Chordata; Mammalia; Primates; Cercopithecidae
Description: lncRNA (ENSPANG00000037788.1)
Source: RNAcentral
GUGCUACCAUACCUGGCUAAUUUCUUUUAAAAUUAUUUGUAGAGACAGGGUUUCAUUAUAUUGCUCAGGCUGGUAUCAAACUCCUGGGCUUAAGCAAGCCUCUCACCUCGGACUCCCAACAUGCUAGGAUUACAGGUGCAUGCCACCACACCCAGCUACUUUUUUUGUUUGUUUUUUGUAGAGAUUGGGGAUCUCACUAUGUUGCUUCAGCUUGUCUCCAACUCCUGGGCUCAAGGGAUCCUCCCAUCUCAGCCUCCCAAAGUGCUGGGAUUACAGGCAUGAGCCACUGUGCCUAGCCUUCUUAUAUCUAUGCUAUGAUGCCUCACUAAAUUUAUGAAAACGUUAGUAUGAUUACGUAUUCUUAUAGAGGCAAGUGCUUCCUUUCCUGAACCAUCAUAGCAUUUUAGUUAUGUCUUCCUUGUGAUUUUGAGCACUUUUAAACUUGCAAAAGAAGUAUUUGUGAAUAGUCUUCUCUUCCUUGCUAGACUGUAGGCUCUUUGAGGAUAAAUUAUUAUUAUUAUUUGAGACAGGGUCUCACUCUGUCACUCAGGCUGGAGUGCAGUGGCUUGAGUAAGGCUUACUGCAGCCUUGACCUCCUGGGCUCAAUCGGUUAUCUUACCUCAGCCUCCUGAGUAACUGGGACCACAAGUGCAUGCCACCAUGACCAGCUAAUUGUUGUAUAUUUUGUAGAGAUGGGGUAUCACCAUGUUGCCUAGGCUGGUUUUCAACUCCUGGGCUCAAGUGAUCUGCCCACCUCAGCCUCCCAAAGUACUACAGGCAUAAGCCAUCACACUCGGCCCGACAAAUUAUGGUUUUUAACAUUUUUUAUAACUGACUGCACCCAAAAGAGUACAUUUACUAUGGAGUUCAGUAAAUAUCUAUUUUAAAAAAAACCAGUCCCAUAGCAUUUUAAAAAAUAUGAACUCAACAUCUCUUUGUAUCAAUAAAAGUAAGAUAUAUAUUUGAUUAAGAUAUCUCUAGUUCACCUAAGUUCAAUCAGAUGCUAGACAGAUUGAAUACUAAUUGAGGAGAUUAAUCACAAACAAUUUAUGUCCAAACACUGAAAAAUGUGGUAAAUAUCUGAUGAAUGAGUUGAUGAAUAUUCAUUUUUCUCCUUUUAUAUAUAUCCCUUUGACAUAGUCUCUGUGCAUGUUUUUGUG